RNAcentral lists this ribosomal RNA (253 nucleotides) under uncultured bacterium. RNAcentral's name for it is "partial 16S ribosomal RNA". It matches the Rfam family "Bacterial small subunit ribosomal RNA", at positions 524 to 776 of the family's 1533-position model. The record is from RNAcentral.
UACGGAGGGUGCAAGCGUUGUCCGGAUUUAUUGGGGUUAAAGGGUGCGUAGGCGGCUGAUUAAGUCAGCGGUGAAAUUCCACAGCUUAACUGUGGAACUGCCAUUGAUACUGGUUAGCUUGAGUACAGAUGAGGUAGGCGGAAUUGACAGUGUAGCGGUGAACUGCUUAGAUAUUGUCAAGAACACCUAUUGCGAAGGCAGCUUACUACACAGUUAUUGACGCUGAGGCACGAAAGCGUGGGGAUCAAACAGG